RNAcentral lists this ribosomal RNA (795 nucleotides) under Triticum aestivum (bread wheat). RNAcentral's name for it is "partial small subunit ribosomal RNA". Lineage: Eukaryota; Viridiplantae; Streptophyta; Magnoliopsida; Poales; Poaceae. The record is from RNAcentral.
AUGGUCAGCAGCAGCACAGAGCCCCGCCCCAUCAAGGUAGCAGCCCCCCUUGAACUUCGACGGAACGGUCAGGCAGAGCUUCUUGCCGGUGAUGGGAGCAAUUACAAUAAGCUCUGCCCGUUGCCAGGGCAUGAUGAGGAGGCGACCGUGGCGGCACCCCAGCAGUCGGACCCCUGUGCCACCGCGACUGUCAAUGCUGUGGAGUCGCAGCUCAAAGCGCUGAGGAGGGAUGCGGUCGGGAGGGCCAAGGACAUGUUUGAACACGAUACCAUCCGCACUGUUCUUGAAGAAACCGAGGAGUGGCAGCUUCCGGUGGUGUGCACAGAAGCGGCGGCGGAACCUGGGGUCAGUGACGGUGCAUCGCCACCGCUUGCAGACGGCAGAGGCACGGGGCAGGGAGGUGGGUUGCAGCGGGAGACGGAGGAGGAUCUCCCACAGGAGAUCGUCGUCCUCAAGCGGCGAGGACAGCGCCUCCGGCGAGCGGCCACGGCCGCGGUGACGACUGCGGCGGGUCACUCUGGCAGCCUCCUCACCCGCGUGGACAUGGGGACGGAGGCGCGUGCUGCGCCGGAGAGCCACUCCGUCGCUCGCGUGAACCUGGGGAUGGAGGCAGCAGGCCACUCCGUCGCCGUUGUCACUCAAGUGGAUCUAGGGAUGGGGAUGGAGGCACGGGCUGCGGCGGCGGGCCACUCCUUGGCUCGCCUCACUCGCAGGGCUAUUUGGAUGGAGGCGCCUGCGCGUGCUACGGCGUCCGGCGUCCUCGGCCGCGCUCAUCUCGCCGGCGGCAAGACCUAG